AGAGUUUGAUCCUGGCUCAGAUUGAACGCUGGCGGCAUGCUUUACACAUGCAAGUCGAACGGCAGCACGGGGGCAACCCUGGUGGCGAGUGGCGAACGGGUGAGGAAUGCACCGGAACGUAUCUUCAAGUGGGGGAUAACGCAUCGAAAGGUGUGCUAAUACCGCAUAAUCUCUGAGGAGAAAAGCAGGGGAUCGCAAGACCUUGCGCUUUUGGAGCGGCCGAUGCCUGAUUAGCUUGUUGGUGAGGUAAAAGCUCACCAAGGCUCCGAUCAGUAGCUGGUCUGAGAGGACGACCAGCCACACUGGGACUGAGACACGGCCCAGACUCCUACGGGAGGCAGCAGUGGGGAAUUUUGGACAGUGGGGGCAACCCUGAUCCAGCCAUGCCGCGUGAGUGAAGAAGGCCUUCGGGUUGUAAAGCUCUUUCAGCCGGAACGAAACGGUCACGGUCAAUACCCGUGACUACUGACGGUACCGGAAGAAGAAGCACCGGCUAACUACGUGCCAGCAGCCGCGGUAAUACGUAGGGUGCGAGCGUUAAUCGGAAUUACUGGGCGUAAAGCGUGCGCAGGCGGUUUUGUAAGUCAGAUGUGAAAUCCCCGGGCUUAACCUGGGAACUGCGGUUGAAACUGCAAGGCUAGAGUGUGGCAGAGGGGGGUGGAAUUCCGCGUGUAGCAGUGAAAUGCGUAGAGAUGUGGA
Molecule: ribosomal RNA, 699 nt
Filed under: uncultured bacterium
Lineage: Bacteria
Description: bacterial SSU rRNA
Rfam family: Bacterial small subunit ribosomal RNA
Source: RNAcentral